This 84-nucleotide small RNA is filed under the name Sinorhizobium meliloti 2011. RNAcentral's name for it is "putative ncRNA". Lineage: Bacteria; Pseudomonadati; Pseudomonadota; Alphaproteobacteria; Hyphomicrobiales; Rhizobiaceae. The record is from RNAcentral.
AACCGGACGAGAUCGUCGAACCGCCGGCGCGGAAGUCCUUGGAGCCGUAAUCCGUGUAGCGGUAUUCGGCACGCGCAGUGAUGU